AUGAGCUUGAACCACUGUCCCUACCACCGAGCAGGGCCCCCCUUGUCACCUCCUCAUGUUCAUGUUCUUCACAUAGGGACAGAUGUUCAUUGUCAUCUGCUGCCUGUGGGAACAUGUCUUGGAUGUCACACUCUUCCCCAAAGCACAGCUCUGUUUCAUAUUUAUCAUCUUCUGGGGAAAGCUUCUCAUGCUCGUUGUAAUCGCAUUGGGGCAGCUCUUUGGCACAGUCAUUCUCCCCUUGAGACGCCUCUUCUUCAUGCUUUUCUUCACCCGGGAAGCUGUCCCCUGGGAAGAGCUCGAUGGCCUCUGCAAAUUACCCUUGCUGUCCCCUGGGAAGAGCUCGAUGGUCUCUCCAAAUUUGGACAGAUGCUGGUCACUUGUGAUGUUUUCCGGACCAUCCUCGAUGGCCUCUUCCACUGGGGACAGAUUCUCGUCACUUGUGCUGCCCCCUGGAGUGACUUUGAUGUCCUCUUCAACAUCGGGCAGCUCCUUCUCCCUUGUGCUGUCCACUGGAAAGAGCUCGCUGUAAUCCUCCACGGGGGUCAGCUGCUGGUCACUUGUGGUGUCCCCUGGACCGAUUUCAGUGGCCUCUUCCACAGGGGACAGCUCCUCCUCAUUUGUGCUGUCCCCUGAAGUGACCUCUCUGGCCUCUUCCACCUCGGACAGCUCUGGCUCAAUGUCGCUGUCCCCUGGCAAGAGCUCAAUGGACUCUUCUACUUUGAACAGCAGCUCCUCAGCUGUGCUGUCAUCUGGAGAGAGCUCGCUCUCAUCUUCCACAAGGGACAGCUCCUGUUCACACUCACUGUCCUCUUGAAAGAGCUCAAAGCCUUCUGUCACUUGGGACAGCUCCUGGUCACAUCCAUGUUCCUCUUGGAAGCGUUUGCUCUCAUUCUGUUUCUCAGGCACCGUGUCCCUGAGGCUGCGCUGCAUGGCUGCAGCCCCCGCGGGGAUGGGCGGCACAGGCAGCGCAGGGGGGGGGGGGGGGGGGGGGGGGGGGGGGGGGGGGGGGGGGGGGGGGGGGG
This 1022-nucleotide long non-coding RNA is filed under the name Ficedula albicollis (Collared flycatcher). RNAcentral's name for it is "lncRNA (ENSFALG00000027561.1)". Lineage: Eukaryota; Metazoa; Chordata; Aves; Passeriformes; Muscicapidae. The record is from RNAcentral.